GGGACCAUCGGCGAGGCUGGAGCUUACCAGAAUAACCAAGACGUUGGGACGUUCCGUUUGAACGUCGCGGAUAUCUCGCGUGCCGUUCCUGCAGCUGAAGAUACCUUUGGCCGUGUACGACGUGGUGGAAGCAGCAAGAAGAGGAGGCUACCGAGAGAGGAUCCGGGCUCGAGCUCGCACACCAGCUAGCUACGCGGAGCGGUGGACGGCCGUCGCUGGCCUGGCUGAUCAAGUGGACAGAGAACACGUCGGGGAGGACAAAAAAAAAAAAAAAUAGCGCCUGGGUGGGGGAGGGCUCCGCGGGCCCAAUUAGAGAAGACAAACUGCCGCGGCGGACUCGGACAAGAAAGCAGCCUGAGGGACUCUUGUGCUCGCCUCCGCUCAUCCGCCCUGAGUGACAAAGGGCGUUGACUGUGCCCGGCUAGGCGCGGAGGCGCGCUGCUACUGAUUGGACUGCUUCGCAGGCAGACACCGUGCUCUCUUUCCCUCUUUCUCCCUACGACACCCCUCGUAUCCAGCGCUAUUCAAUACGCUUCUUCUGCACCCUUAAUCAAAUCGAAUCAAAGUCACGAAACCGGGAGCCAGGGGGUGGUAUAGCACAGGAGGAUGAGUGAGGUUGGGACGGAUCGAGAAAUUAGGGGGGUGGGAGUGGGGAGGCCGAAGGGCGGAGGGUAUGUUCCUUGGUGCAGGACAGCAGCUACAAGCGACUCCAAGGAGACGGCCUCUCAUCAGGCAGCGGGGGAACAGCGCAAGUUGAGCUCUAGUGUUCUACAUCUACCCUGUAGAUCCGAAUUUGUUUGCCACUAGACUACAAAUUCGGUUCUAGAGAGGUUUGUGUGGUACAUACGAAACGUCACACUGCGUAGAAGAACCCUCCCGACGAUGCAUCGACCAUGGGCGCUUGUGUUGUGCACGUGUGCUUUGAAGAGUGUGGAUGGAUGUCAUGCGGAUGUAUACGAUAGGAGUUUUAUAACCGUACGGGUUGCCCGCCAUGUCCCCGUCUCCUGGGGAAGACUGUUUAAUGAAUGUGAGAGUUACGGCGGUGAUGGUCUUCAAAAAAAAAAAACAUUUUAAUACAUGCAUGUUCUUUACCUUGCUUACUUGCUUUCAUCGUUCACCUUGUGGGACGAGCGUUAAAAAAUAAAGGACACUCUGUUUGCCCGUUGUCGAAGUAGACGUGAAGGUGUUCAACAAUAAAUAAGUUGUUUUUUUUUUCCUUCACUCUUCAUUAUAUCUCAGCAAGCCGAUGUGAUGAACAUAUUUACAAUAAUGCCAUGUUUAGAGGACCAGACUGCUAUUCCUGAAUUGCGCUUAUGCCAUAGCAAAGCGAGCCAAGAAGAUUAUGCGGGUAGAACAUACCACCGAAUAAGCAUUAACGCAAGGAAGAACAGAGCAGGACAACGUCUUUGUGCACAUGUUUCUUGGCUGGUACAUCGCACCUCCACAUGAUGAACCAAUUCGCCCAGCAAACAACGUCGCUAGGCCAUUGAGAAGCUGCGAAACCGCAGGACUCGUGCCGGCGCUACAAUAUAGAGUUUCGCGAUGAUUUCGUCAUCACGGCAUGAUAUGACAUUGUCUACUCGAGUCUCGGCUGUUGUAAAGUACCGCGUUUCCUCCCAUUCAGUUCUAUGCCAGUAUGUUGUCGUCCAGCGUUCCCGGUUGACUGAUCCCAUCGGUAACGCAGAUGCAGCGCUGCUCUGACCAAUGGCGAAGCGCAAACGGGAAUGACAUCAGAAAGGACAUCGCUACAAAUCAACAGCCGUGGGUAGAGAUAAUGAGAACCAGAGUUAAAUACCAGCGUGUAACUCGGUCUUAAGACUGUUGUUAGCGCAUAAACAGCUCAGGUACCAUCAUUCGUGGCGUCGUACUGACGUGGCAAAAGCGAAAUAUUAGUAUUCAAGGCUCUUGUCGCUAAGUAUUAGCAGUGAUUCCACAAACGCUUUUCAAUAUUUUCAGUUCAACACUACAAGCACGUAAUGCUAUAGAGUGGUGGCGGUGUGAACACUUAACACUUCUACAGACAAAGGUAUAACGAAGCUCAGUCUCUGCUAACUCUGUAAUCAGCAUUCUAAUAAUAAUGUCUGGGGUUUAACGUCCCAAAACCACGAUAUGAUUAUGAGAGACACCGUAGUGGAGGGCUCCGAAAAUUUCGUCCACCCGGGGUUCUUUAA
Long non-coding RNA from Rhipicephalus sanguineus (brown dog tick), 2171 nucleotides. RefSeq lists it as uncharacterized. The record is from RefSeq and is a predicted model, not a curated record. Lineage: Eukaryota; Metazoa; Arthropoda; Arachnida; Ixodida; Ixodidae. The transcript is spliced from 3 exons.